Molecule: ribosomal RNA, 18 nt
Filed under: Umbelopsis nana
Lineage: Eukaryota; Fungi; Mucoromycota; Umbelopsidomycetes; Umbelopsidales; Umbelopsidaceae
Also listed under: 1 other name
Description: partial 28S ribosomal RNA
Source: RNAcentral
UUGAUCUGAAAUCAGGUA